RNAcentral lists this transfer-messenger RNA (374 nucleotides) under Gammaproteobacteria bacterium. It matches the Rfam family "transfer-messenger RNA". Rfam says of the family: Bacterial tmRNA, also known as 10Sa RNA or SsrA, is named for its dual tRNA and mRNA-like properties. Its role is to liberate the mRNA from a stalled ribosome. Lineage: Bacteria; Pseudomonadati; Pseudomonadota; Gammaproteobacteria. The record is from RNAcentral.
GGGGGCGACCUGGCUUCGACGUGGGUUACGAAACCUGAGGUGCAUGCCGAGGCGCAGAUAACCUCGUAAAUCCAGCUGCAAAAACUAUAGUUGCCAACGACGACAACUACGCACUCGCAGCUUAAACCCCUGUAGGGUGCCGUCUGACCGGAGCCGUGCUUGUGCGUCCGGGUCCUUCGGGACAUUCAGGCGUCGACUCUCACAAGAUCGCGAUGAAGCACGUCCGGGGCUGAUUCGCUAAAACUUUACGGAAUCGCUGAUUGUCUUCCCUGCCCGUCGGGUAGCAACCAGUUAAAUUAAUAGACGUGGAUAAGCAUGUAGAGCCGAUGGCAGAGGAUUUGCGGACGCGGGUUCGAUUCCCGCCGCCUCCACCA